UUUCAAAGGUAGGUGAAAUGACUAUCAUAUCGUAUGACUAUCAUCAAGGACUUCAACCUUCUGAAUCUCUUGUCUGUUCCAACCCUAUAACUUCAGACCAACUUUUAUUUUCUCAAGCUUCUCCAAAACAGCAUUUAUAUCAAGCUUUACAUGCGACAGGCCUGCUAAAUGCAGGCUGGACUCCUCAAAGGACUCUUGAACUGUUGAACACCCCUUUCAACCUCACCAGACCUGCUUUUGCAUCAAAAGCCAACCUACCUUCUACAGCAGCCGACGCCGUCGCAGCAGCUCUUCCGAAUCAAACUACAACCACCACCUCCAUUAUUCCUCCUAUCUUUGAAUCAUCUGCAACAUCUUCUCUCACACCAAACGACUCCAAUCAACAAUCUGACGUUCAAUUACCUAUCUCUGCUGACAGUAACUCAUUUCAGCCUUCUAUUACUGUAAACUGUAAUGAUUUAAAUAUUGAAACUAAUCAUUCUUUGUCUUUAUCUACUAAUGUAAAUUUAUCUUUAGAAAUUGAAACUGUUUUGCAACAUUUUAAACAACAUGGCCCAUUACCUUUAUCACCAAACUUCAAAAAAUUACAAACCUAUUAUUA
Molecule: non-coding RNA, 601 nt
Organism: Pantherophis guttatus
Lineage: Eukaryota; Metazoa; Chordata; Lepidosauria; Squamata; Colubridae
Source: RefSeq, a predicted model, not a curated record